RNAcentral lists this ribosomal RNA (274 nucleotides) under uncultured bacterium. Its description in RNAcentral is "partial 16S ribosomal RNA". It matches the Rfam family "Bacterial small subunit ribosomal RNA", at positions 523 to 796 of the family's 1533-position model. The record is from RNAcentral.
AUACGGAGGGUGCAAGCGUUAUCCGGAUUCAUUGGGUUUAAAGGGUGCGCAGGCGGACUUGUAAGUCAGUGGUGAAAUCCCGGGGCUCAACCUCGGAACUGCCAUUGAUACUGCAAGUCUUGAGUUUGGUUGAAGUGGGCGGAAUGUAGCAUGUAGCGGUGAAAUGCAUAGAUAUGCUACAGAACACCGAUCGCGAAGGCAGCUCACUAAACCAACACUGACGCUCAGGCACGAAAGCGUGGGGAGCGAACGGGAUUAGAAACCCGAGUAGUCC